GACGAACCGUGCGAACGUUAUUCGGAAUCACUGGGCUUAAAGGGCGCGUAGGCGGGCCGGUCAGUCAGAGGUGAAAGCCCCCAGCUUAACUGGGGAAGUGCCCCUGAUACUGCCGGCCUCGAGGGAGGUAGGGGCGUGCGGAACUUCCGGUGGAGCGGUGAAAUGCGUAGAUAUCGGAAGGAACACCGGUGGCGAAGGCGGCGCGCUGGACCUCUUCUGACGCUGAGGCGCGAAAGCUAGGGGAGCAAACGGG
Molecule: unclassified non-coding RNA, 253 nt
Filed under: uncultured Planctomycetia bacterium
Lineage: Bacteria; Pseudomonadati; Planctomycetota; Planctomycetia
Description: contains 16S-23S intergenic spacer region
Rfam family: Bacterial small subunit ribosomal RNA
Source: RNAcentral